Amblyraja radiata (thorny skate) is the source of this 119-nucleotide long non-coding RNA. RefSeq lists it as uncharacterized. NCBI's taxonomy places the organism in Eukaryota, Metazoa, Chordata, Chondrichthyes, Rajiformes, Rajidae. The record is from RefSeq and is a predicted model, not a curated record. The transcript is spliced from 3 exons.
CAGUAAGCGAAGGUCCAAAGGUCAGACAGCUAGCCGGGCUGCCAUCCGACGGGGCCACGGGCGAGCCACUGCUGCUACUGCACUCCAGGGGCUGCACUAUGUCGGGACGGGUCAGGCGG